GCAGGAUCAAAACAAAACUGUGGGGAAGCAAACAAGCUCCUUCUAGUGCCAGGAUCCUGAAUUCCAGUUCACUUUUUCAGACGUAAGUGUUCUUUAAAAAGAGAACAACGUUUUAAAAGGCAGCUCUUGAAAACAUUCACAUUCUCUAAAAACAGAUGUUCAUCCAUCAAACUGGAGAAGCCUUCCCCUCAGUUAUCUCCUUAGAAUCUGCCCUCCGUUCGAAGUCCAGGAGAGAAAUCAAAUGCAAGUUUUCAGGUGGCACACACAUCCAAGGCACAGCUCACACGAAUGCUAAGGAAAUGAACAAAAACCUUCGUGGUGCAGGAGGGAAAGGCACUUGAAAAGAGCAGAAAAAGAAAGAAAGAAAGAAAGAAAGAAAGAAAGAAAGAAAGAAAGAAAGAAAGAAAGAAAGAAAGAAAGAAAGAGGUGAGUCUUUUUAAGCUUGCCUUCCUCCACUCUGAGGUCUGGGCUGGGAAAUCUGGUGUUAGGGCAAACCCAUCUGGCAGGGGAAAAAUAAACAAAGUACAGUACAUGGAAAAGGGGGAGGC
RNAcentral lists this long non-coding RNA (548 nucleotides) under Pogona vitticeps (central bearded dragon). Its description in RNAcentral is "lncRNA (ENSPVIG00000015384.1)". The record is from RNAcentral. Lineage: Eukaryota; Metazoa; Chordata; Lepidosauria; Squamata; Agamidae.